This 503-nucleotide ribosomal RNA is filed under the name uncultured bacterium. RNAcentral's name for it is "bacterial SSU rRNA". It matches the Rfam family "Bacterial small subunit ribosomal RNA", at positions 16 to 507 of the family's 1533-position model. The record is from RNAcentral.
AUCAUGGCUCAGGAUGAACGCUAGCUACAGGCUUAACACAUGCAAGUCGAGGGAAACGACAUCGAAAGCUUGCUUUUGAUGGGCGUCGACCGGCGCACGGGUGAGUAACGCGUAUCCAACCUGCCCACCACUUGGGGAUAACCUUGCGAAAGUAAGACUAAUACCCAAUGAUAUCCCACGAAGGCAUCGGAAUGGGAUUAAAGAUUUAUCGGUGAUGGAUGGGGAUGCGUCUGAUUAGCUUGUUGGCGGGGUAACGGCCCACCAAGGCAACGAUCAGUAGGGGUUCUGAGAGGAAGGUCCCCCACAUUGGAACUGAGACACGGUCCAAACUCCUACGGGAGGCAGCAGUGAGGAAUAUUGGUCAAUGGACGGGAGUCUGAACCAGCCAAGUAGCGUGCAGGACGACGGCCCUAUGGGUUGUAAACUGCUUUUAUAGGGGGAUAAAGUGUGCCACGUGUGGCAUAUUGCAGGUACCCUAUGAAUAAGGACCGGCUAAUUCCGUG